This is a non-coding RNA of Phthorimaea operculella (potato tuberworm), 74 nucleotides long. The record is from the annotation of a GenBank genome assembly. Lineage: Eukaryota; Metazoa; Arthropoda; Insecta; Lepidoptera; Gelechiidae.
GCUUGAAGAUAGCUCAGUGGCAGAGCGGUGGGGCGUCUACCCAUGCGGCCCGGGUUCGAUCCCCGGUCGAUGCA